This 452-nucleotide long non-coding RNA is filed under the name Phascolarctos cinereus (koala). RNAcentral describes it as "lncRNA (ENSPCIG00000020048.2)". The record is from RNAcentral. Lineage: Eukaryota; Metazoa; Chordata; Mammalia; Diprotodontia; Phascolarctidae.
GGAUUCUAUGGGACUGAGAAAGAAAGACAGAGGAAGAUGUCUUAUAUGAAAUAUUUCCUCUCUACUGCUCCCUACUGUCAGCACACCCUGACAGGAAUUCUGCUACAUUGUUCAUGAACCCAGUGAAAGAUGUUCACAGUGGUAAGUAACACUUUAUUCCAUGAAGAAGAAACACAGGGCAAGUUCCUUGGACUCCAAUUGCUACAAACCAACUGGGUCCCCAGUCACAGGUCACAAGCAAAUCAACAGACAGCAAAACGCAUGGAAACUCAGAUUCUUGUCCUAGGUUUGCAUGUUGUGAAGAGUCCACGUGUGGUAAAGAAAGGUCAUUUUAAAGGGCCAGUCUUCCUUGCUCACUAAACAAGGAUAACUGGAGAGCAGCCUAAGUCAUUCAAUCAGAAAACACUUAUGAACCCAAGCACUGAUCUAUGCACCUGAAACUUGAAAAAAAU